CUUAACAGAGCGAAUGCCGCUUUUUGAUCAGGUUAUUUGAGGGGCUGUGAGAGUGUCUUCCUUCCCCUUUAUCCUCUUUCAAUCCAUAUCUAUGGCAAACAUUAGACUGUCUCUACUGACAAUAGGCAUUUUUGCUUACUAUUGACAGAUUAAUUCUAUCAAUGGCUUAAAAUCCUGCUGUGGUUCUCCUGAACUAUUCUGUUUUUCCCUGAGGACUCUGGUUCCUUCCUGUAUGGUCUGCUGUCUUUUGCUGUUUUACCUCUUUGCAUUGUAUGUCUGAAA
This is a long non-coding RNA of Rana temporaria (common frog), 282 nucleotides long. RefSeq lists it as uncharacterized. Lineage: Eukaryota; Metazoa; Chordata; Amphibia; Anura; Ranidae. The transcript has 3 exons. The record is from RefSeq and is a predicted model, not a curated record.